UAAAAAAAAAUAAAAAAAAAUCUGGGCCUAGGCCCAAAACCUGAUUCCAACUCCAUUUCAUUACAUUCUGGAACCAUUCUACAAACGACAACACUGACACAACCAAAACACUAUAGUUUCAACCUCAAGAAAACCCUUGUCAAAAAGACUACUCAAAAAAACAUUCAGCAAAGUAAGAAAUUUUCAUACCUUCUCCAAUCUCCACUUUGCUCUUCAUAAGGUUUUAGGAGCUCGAAGAUGGCUGGCAAGUACAUCAUUGGUUCUAUUGUUGGAUCUUUUGCUGUUGCAUAUGUUUGUGACACUGUUAUUUCCGACGGGAAAAUAUUUGGAGGCAAGUUCCUGUUCCUUUUGUUAGUUCUUUGAUCAUGAAAUUUCCUGUGCUAUGCUGACAUUCACUUGUGGUAUCUCAAAACAGGUACGACUCCAAGCACCGUUACUAACACUGAGUGGUGGAAAGAGACGGACAAGAAAUUCCAGGCAUGGCCUCGCACUGCUGGUCCCCCAGUCGUCAUGAACCCCAUCAGCCGACAGAAUUAUAUUGUUAAGUCAAGUCUUGAUUGAGAAAUUUGAGUUAUGCUGUUUUGUUCUCCCAGAUUUCAUUUGAAAUUUAACCAUUCUUCUGUUUUGAGCAAGGAUUUUUGCUCCUAUGCUGGAUUCAGACAAUACUGAAGUCAUUUAUCUCACUUCCUUAUAAGAAGAUUUUUGACAUAUGUUACAAACAAUCAAAAAAGAUUUGACAUAUGUUACAAUAAAUUCUUUGUUCAGUUUGCGCA
RNA transcript from Lycium ferocissimum, 773 nucleotides. RefSeq lists it as uncharacterized. Lineage: Eukaryota; Viridiplantae; Streptophyta; Magnoliopsida; Solanales; Solanaceae. The record is from RefSeq and is a predicted model, not a curated record. The transcript has 2 exons.